GUACCUGUGACACAUGCAGGACAUAAGAUGUUGAGUCCAUGCCUUCAGAGGGCAGGCUAUUCUCUGUCUACCCGCCACCCAUGGCCUGUCAUGCCGAGAGUCUUUCAACCAGAAGAAUGAAGGAUGGGUCAUCCAAGAACAGGAGUGUGUGAAGCCAAGGACAGUAGCUCAUGCCCCUGGGUCAGACAGCACAUUCCCAUGAAUGAUGGUGACAUCGCCAAGGCACCUGGAGUGAAAAUGGUCUCUGAAGUGUAACGGAGUUCCUCUGGUCUUCAGAGAUUCCUGAGAGCCAGGGCAGAGGGGAGGAACCCCUUCCCAGGCUCAUCUCAAACAAGCCUGCUGUUCCCUGACAUAGUCACUCUCCACCUACAAACUCAGGAGUGGCUACAGGAGGCUGAGCUCGCUAUGUCCACGAGGGAGGAUCCAGGGCCACAUCCUCACUGUUGUUGCAGAGAACCAGCCUGGGGCACCUGUGCUCAGUGACAACAGAAGAAAAGAUUCAUGCAGGGUUGAAGUUUGUUGAAAACCUGCUGUGGAAAGGUUCUAGCCACCAGAGAGAAAGGCCAUACACCAAACACAGAAUCUGGAAUAGACAAUGCUCCUUAAGACAGGUGCCCUUCCAGCUUUGGUUCCUGGCAAUUGGCACAAAGAAAGCAAGGAAGAAAUCAAGGCUGCUACCCUGAAGAACAGUAAGAGCAUCAUGACGGUGGACCCAAAUAUUUAACAUUUGAAGAACAGUCUUAUGGAGAAGGAAACAGCUUGUUUUUGGUGGCCCAAGUCAGCAUGCAGAGUGAGGAGAUGAUGAGCAGUUAUAUUUCAGCUCAGUAUAACAGGCUGUUCCAUAUAAAUUGCCUCCUGCAGUUUCAAGACUCAUUCGGAGCAAGCAGCUCCUCUGGGAAGACUUCCUGGGGGUGGCCGCUGCCACCUGCCUGCAGCAUGCUCCUCUCCCUCCGACUGCCCUCUACAUGGUAUGUGUAGGGUUUCAGUGAUCCACUUGACCUGAGUUCUGCAGAGCCUUGCAGAUACAUUCCAGAAAAUGGUGACUGAGGGGCUUUGAGGUCCUUGUUCUGUCAUUUAUGAGUCCCACAACCUGGACAGUAAGUUCCUUACCUUUCUGGACUCACUUUUGUCAUCUAUAAAAUGGUAAUAACAAAAUAUAUUGGGCUUGAGUGCAUGGGCUCAGAAAAGUAUCUGGAAUCCAAUAAAUGCUUCAUUGAGCUCCUCUGUACCCCAUGUGUUUCCAUAGUGACCUGUGACACUCCUGUCUUUCAGGUCUGUAGACACUGGACUAGGAGACAGAGCUGGACUCAGAGGCCAAGCUUUUGGGCACUUCAGACAGUAUUCUCCACAAGCAUUAAACAAACUUUCCCUCCUGGUUUUUCAAUUACACUAAAUGACCCAUCAGUCAAAAGUGCUUGCUUCUCCAAGGGAAUACAAAUGCUCUGUGAAUUACAUCACUUCUUCCUGAGGGACGAUCUGUCAAUCAGGAGAGAAGCUCAGAGCUCACAACAUCUGCAAGGGACCAGCAGUACAUCUUGUCCUUACUAUUGGCCUUUGUAGACCUUCUAAGUCAGUCUCCGACUUCAAUGGGAAUCAUGGCAUCUAUACCACUGUUAUACCUCCUCAACCAACGUGACAAUGGCUAAGAAAGUGUGAUGCAGCCGGGCGUUGGUGGUGCACGUCUUUAAUCCCAGCACUCGGGAGGCAGAGGCAGAUGGAUCUCUGUGAGUUCGAGGCCAGCCUGGUCUCCAGAUCGAGUGCCAGGAUAGGCUCCAAAGCUACACAGAGAAACUCUGUCUCAAAACAAAACAAAACAAAAAACAAACAAACAAAAAAGAAAGUGUGAUGCUUGGGUGCAAGACUAAACUUGGUCUGGUGAGAUGCUCAUUGAGUAAAGGCACUUACUGGCACACCUGAUGACCUGAGUUCCAUCCCUGGGACUUGCCUGGUGGAAAGAGAGAACUGACUUCUACAAGUUGUCCUCUGACCUCUCCACACAAUGCAUUGUGGCGCUUAUGCUUGUGUGCGGCACACCUACACACAUAUAUGUAAUGAAUAAAAUGUAAUAAAAAUUAAAAUAAACUUG
Non-coding RNA from Cricetulus griseus (Chinese hamster), 2086 nucleotides. Lineage: Eukaryota; Metazoa; Chordata; Mammalia; Rodentia; Cricetidae. The record is from RefSeq and is a predicted model, not a curated record.